GUGGCGAACGGGUGAGUAACACGUGAGCAACCUGCCCCUGACUCUGGGAUAAGCGCUGGAAACGGCGUCUAAUACUGGAUACGAGUAGCGACCGCAUGGUCAGUUACUGGAAAGAAUUUUGGUUGGGGAUGGGCUCGCGGCCUAUCAGCUUGUUGGUGAGGUAAUGGCUCACCAAGGCGUCGACGGGUAGCCGGCCUGAGAGGGUGACCGGCCACACUGGGACUGAGACACGGCCCAGACUCCUACGGGAGGCAGCAGUGGGGAAUAUUGCACAAUGGGCGAAAGCCUGAUGCAGCAACGCCGCGUGAGGGAUGACGGCCUUCGGGUUGUAAACCUCUUUUAGCAGGGAAGAAGCGAAAGUGACGGUACCUGCAGAAAAAGCACCGGCUAACUACGUGCCAGCAGCCGCGGUAAUACGUAGGGUGCAAGCGUUAUCCGGAAUUAUUGGGCGUAAAGAGCUCGUAGGCGGUUUGUCGCGUCUGCUGUGAAAUCCGGAGGCUCAACCUCCGGCCUGCAGUGGGUACGGGCAGACUAGAGUGCGGUAGGGGAGAUUGGAAUUCCUGGUGUAGCGGUGGAAUGCGCAGAUAUCAGGAGGAACACCGAUGGCGAAGGCAGAUCUCUGGGCCGUUACUGACGCUGAGGAGCGAAAGGGUGGGGAGCAAACAGGCUUAGAUACCCUGGUAGUCCACCCCGUAAACGUUGGGAACUAGUUGUGGGG
This 718-nucleotide ribosomal RNA is filed under the name Microbacterium sp. RNAcentral describes it as "bacterial SSU rRNA". It matches the Rfam family "Bacterial small subunit ribosomal RNA", at positions 95 to 827 of the family's 1533-position model. Lineage: Bacteria; Bacillati; Actinomycetota; Actinomycetes; Micrococcales; Microbacteriaceae. The record is from RNAcentral.